GGAACAUUCUCUUUACAUGCUCUUACAUUCUCUCUACAUUCUCUUUACCUUUUUAGUCAAAUAAACAAUAACAUACAUGCAUUAAUACAAGAUCUAACACAAACACACUAAACAGUUUUCAGAAAAUAUCGGAUUUUCUGGUGGUUUUCAAAGUUAUACAAAUCAUUUUCACAAACAUGCUUAUGAACUCACCAACAUUUUUAUGUUGACCGUUUUCAAAAUAACUUGUAUUCUCAGGAUACCGUUGAAGCAGGAUGAACGAAACAAACUAAUGGAUAUUGUGUUAUAUUUUGUUUCAUCAUACUCUUACUAUUUUGGCAUGUAAUAUUCAAAUACAAUACUCGAUGUAAACAAUGAAUGUUGUAAUAUUACAUGUGUGAUGAUGAUGAUGUUAUGUUUCAAUUAUAUUCACUGUAAUGAUAUUUCAAGAUGAAGUCACGCACAAGCCCCCGGACGUUUCCGCCGUCUGGUUCGGGGGUGUGACAGAUUGGUAUCAGAGCAUUGUUUAUAGUGAACUAGCAUAUCUAAUCAUACAGGAUAUGCAACUAUAAAUACAAUGGGACUAAACAACUCUAAACAUAAUAAUUAAAAUACAUACCUUUGUGUGCAUUUUAGAAUAAUAACACAACAAGAACAGUAAAAGUCUUUAGAGGAUUUGAACAUCGCUAUUAAAAUCGAGCAAUUAUGUAAACGUAUUGGGGGUGAAUGUAGCCUGAUCAACUACAUUCAUUCAAAAUACGACCAACAUGUGUUCGGGAGUAAUUGUGAUGGACAAUGAAUCAAAAACUUACCAUUUAAUUACCCAAAGAGCUUAUAGAACAAAACCUAAACAAAAUUAAAAUUACUAUAGGAGUAAUUGGUAUGCUAUUUGUUUCUAGUAUUUAUACCCCUUUGUGAAAUACACUAUAGACGAGUAUCAUUAGCCAUGAAACCCCUAUCUCCCUAGUCAGGGAAUAGCAGGGUGGCUCGACUCAGAGGAGGAACACGAAGUAGAACUCGUAGAUGGACCCGCUGAGUCAAUAGUAGGCCUCGAAGGGGAAGAGCCAGAGGGCAAUGGUGAUGAUGACUCGGAUGCAGAAUCCAAUGUCAUCAAUCCUCCAUGUAAAGCUAGAGUACCGACUUAUCGUGUGAGCCCCGGUGGCCCCAUGCCCCCUUAGGCAUACGAUAUUUGGAGAUAGAGUCACCAGCAGGGGAUACGACCACACUAGGGUAGGAACCGAGGUCUCUCCGACCAUUAGGCAUAGAGGACCAGCUGACCGGGCCCUCCCAGUCAUGGUCCGGCGCGCCCUAGGUACUGAUAACCGAGCUCAGGACACCCCAAAUCGAACGGAAACAAAUGCAGUUUGCUAUUGAGAGAGACAAGAGACAAACAAAGGAAGUGAACGGAGACUCCCGAGCGAGACAGUUAGUUUGAGAGGUACGACUACGAGAUACCGAGCAACAAGUAGCUCGUCUCCGAGGUGCAUCAACUUCAUCAGCACCACCACCNUCCGCCACAAUUAGGAUCAACCUUUUCUUUUUCCCCCUCACUAUCCGAUAUGACUCUCUUUCGUGUACUAAGAUGGUACUUACCAAUGGAACAAUUAUGUGCUAUCUUUAUUUCAUAUUACUACACAAAUUCAAUUAUAACCGAACCCUCAAAACCGUUAGAUACUUAAGGGUCUCAAAACCAAAACACCCUAUAUACUCUAAGGAUAGACGUGACGAUCGUGCCAAAUCUGUGAUUACCUACUACCGCAAAUACAUCAUAGGGAUGUAGAUGGAAGUAGUGAGAAUUAUACAACAAGAUGCAAAAUUUAUAGAGUACAACCAGGAAUGACAAUCAUUACUUACGAUCUGGAUUAUCAACAUGCAGCAGGAAAAUGCCAUCCCGCAAGAAUAACAAGCACACCCGCGAGACACCGCUCCUGCAGAUGGACUCUGCUACAUUCCAAGCUAUUGUAACGGCGGCAGUAAUCGCUGCUAUGGCACAAAUCAAUGCAAACAACCCCAGUGGAGGUGGGAAUAACAUUGACAACUCCAGCCAAAGGAGCGAACAUGGAAACCAACAAGUGACAACCUAUCAAGGAACUCCAAACCCCAAGCUUAAGAUCAGGAAGCUGAGGUCUGGAAGUAAAAGAAAGGAACAACACACUCAAGGGUUCUCAAGGAAGCAACAUGUUGUUGCUAUUCAUGCGACCAUGACCCCUAUUAUCCCAACAACCCGGAGACCAUAUGUUGGAAGUCUUCCAAAAUGCAACCAGUGCAAAUUCCAUCAUAAUGGAGCCUGUCGGGAGAUGCAUUGUAACAAAUGCAACCGAAAGAAUCACACCGCCAAAUUCUGUAGAACUUAUCCAUGCCAGAAUCGUCAGCUAAAUGAAAACGACAACAAUCGCAACAACCCUAACAACAACACCAAUGAUGAGACCAGUCACACCUGCUAUGGGUGUGGAGGAACCGGUCACUUCAGGCGCAAUUGCCCCAAGGAUAACCAUCAAGGAGUAGAAGGAUCAGAAAUGGUCCUAACCUGGGGUCAAGGCGAAGCAGACCAAGACCCGACAGUUGUUACUGGUAUGUUCCCACUUAACAACUCUUUUGCUUACCUCUUAUUCAAUAGUGAAGCUGAGCGAAGCUUCGUUAGUAACAAAUUCAAACGCUUACUGAAACAACAACCCCAUAAGCUAAACAAAGCCUUCACGGUGGAGAUGGCUAAGGGGAAAACCGAAUCAACCUACGAUAUUUAUAUAGGGUACACCUUAACACUAAACAACCAUUUAUUUCAAAUAAAUUUAGUGCCAGUAAAUAUUAGGGGUUUUGAUGUGAUAAUCGACAUGGUUGGGUUAAGCCCCCACCAUGCUGAUGCUAUGUGUCGCGAGAGGGUCGUUUGCCUUCACCUUCCUAAUCACGAAACUCUAAUAAUCCAUGGUGAUAAACCUGACACCAAUCCUCUUCUUAUCUCGUGCAUCAAGGCACAAAAGUGCCUGCACCAGAAGAACUACGUUUUCCUCACUCAUGUUGUGGACAAGACCAAAGAAGAGGUAGGAAUACAAGGUAUUCCAGUAGCAUGUGAUUUUCCAGAUGUGUUUCCUGAAGAACUUUCGGGAAUAUCCCAGAGAGACAGGUCGAAUUUCGAAUCGACCUCAUACCGGGAACCACAUCAAUUGCCAAUUCACCCUAUAGGUUGACUCCCGUCGAAAAUUCACAAGUUAUCCAGUCAAAUGAGUAGAAUUGUUGCGCAAAUGAUUCAUCAGACCAAGCUUCUCUUCCUGAAGAGCUCUGAGCGGAUCCUUCAGAAGGUACAUCGAUUUUAGGAAAUUGAAUAAGCUCCUUAUCAAAAAUUGAUACCCACUCCCUCGGACUGACGAUCUAUUUGGCCAGCUCCAAGGAGCUAGUUACUUCUCUAAAAUAGAUCUAAGAAUCGGUUAUCAUCAACUUCGAGUCCGAGAAGACGACAUUUCAAAAACUUCCUUCCGAACUCAUCACGACCAUUUCAAAUUCAUUGUGAUACCCUUCGGUCUAACGAAUGCUCCCACACUAUUCAUGGACCCUACGUACCAAGUUUUCUCAAUCAUUCCUAGUUAGCCUUUUCAUUAUUUUCAUCAAUAACAUACUCGUCUGCCCACGAAGCGAGAACGAAACACUGUCAACAUCUACUACCAGCCUUGAAAGCAUCAAAGCCGGAGAAUAUCGUGAAAAAAGCACUGCAUGGAUGGAUAAAACCCUCGAAGUCAAAAGACAAAGCUUAUUAUUAUAAGAGUUGAGUUGGGCGCUAUCCGGGUGAUCGUCGAUAGGUUAACCCAAUCUGCCCAUUUCCUGCUAAUACAGAUCGUGAGACUCCAUGAAGUAUCAGUAUCUACUAUCUCGGAUCGAGAUAAUGGGAUUACUUCAAGACUUUGACAGUCAUUUCAGAAGACUAUAGGAACAUAGCUAAGUAUGAGCGUUGCUUACCACCCUCAAACCAAUAGUCAAAGCGAACGAACUAUUCAACCACUCAAACUCAUGCUACAAGUCUAGGUGUUUGAAUUCAGCAAGUCAUGGGAUACUCGGUUGCCCUUGAUUGAAUUCUCAUACAAUAACAACUAUCGCACGAGCAUCAAGAUUGAUCCUUUCAAAACUCUUUAUAGUCAUAAAUGCAGAUCACUCGCCAGUACUCUCAUGAGACCAGAAACCAUUUGCGAAACAACAGAGAAGAUAAUCCAAAUCAAAGCUUGACUUCAAGCAUCGCGAGACCGACAUAAGAGCUAUUCUGACAAGCGGCGUAAGCCAUUAGGAUGUCAAGUCGGGGAUCGCGUGUUAUUAAAAGAAUCUCCUUGGAAAGGAAUGAUUCGCUUUAGGAAACGAGAAAACUAAACCCACGAUAUAUCGGGCUGUUCGAGAUUCUUGCUCGGAUUGGUCCAAAGACUUAUAGGCUACAACUGCCUGUAGAGCUCAGCAACGUACACCGUAUGUUCAGCGUAUCGAAUCUGAAAAAGUGUCUAUCAGGCAAAACUCUUAUCAUUCCUUUAUAAGGGAUCGAAAUAAACAAGAAUCUCCUAUUCUUAGAAGAACUAGUCGAGGCAUUGGAUAGGGAAUUAAAGCAUACAAAACAAAGCCUCAUUCCGAUUGUAAAGGUUCAAUGGAACGCGAAACAUAGAUCGGAAUUCACAAGUGAACGCGAAGGCUAGAUUAAGCAGAAGUACCCUCACCUAUUCUCUCAUUAAUGAACCUAUCUUUUAAAAGAAUUUCGGGACGAAAUUCCCUCUAACGGGGGAUGAUGUCACAACUAGCAUUUUGCUAGGAAAUUCUAUUCCCAUGUACACAUCAUCCAUUGUAAAAGGCUAUACUUACUAUACUCUAUUCUCAUUCAAAUACAUCUCAUAUGUUCAACUAAGGGUUGGAAACCCUAGAAAUCCCGACUCAAAUUCAUUAUGGACUAGGAUUCUUUUAUUGGGCCUAAGGGACCAAUAAAUCAUCAACUCAUCAGUCUAUAACAUUUUGGGCCAUUUGGGCCUAAAAUGAUUCAUUCCACCUCUAAUGGACCAUGAUGGGCCAUAAAGGAUUUAAUUAGCCCUAAUGGGCCCUAAACAAAUUUCUUUUGCCAUUUUGGGCCGUGAGCCUCCCUAAGAGCCCAAUGGGCCGAAAGAUUUCUUAUGGGCCUCAUAAUUUCGAGCCAAGGCUAGAAAUGGGCCAAGUUAAUCCACCACCUUUCUCUCUAGCCCAUAUUCGGCCCAAAAACAAAACAAAAAAAAGGAAAAGAGAUGAAUUAUCCUAACUUUGCCACCUCAAUGUUGCAUUGUGGUCAUCCAUGCACAAUAACCACCAUACAACAAGGUAAGUUCAUGUAUCUAGGCAAGAAAAUCUUUCUUCCUCUCCCUUCUUCAAACUCACGGCCAUAUGGCCUUUCUACCUUCACAUUUCAUUCUAAAACCCAACAUUUUCUCUCAUCAUUCCUCUCAAACACUCUCAAGAAAAACCACUCUUCUUUCCUUUCAAUUUUUCGAGAUUUUAAGCAUUUCAAGAAGGUUUUCCCACCAAGAUCAUCAACUUGGGUAAGUUCUUAAUUAGAUCUAUGAUUUAGCUUCUUGAUCUCUUCAAAGAUCUCCUCUUACACCCAUAUUUUUGUGGAUCAUGUUCUUAGAACCAUCUAAGUUCAAGAUCUACUCAAGAAAGCUUGCUAGGAACCACAAAUCUCUUCAUCUCUUCUACAAAACCGAAACCUCAAAGCAAAGGUGAGUUCAUACCCCCUUGUUUUUGGUUUUUACUUGUUUUUGGGGGAGAAUACAAGUUGAUUUGUGUAGAUCUAUGUGUAUAUGCAUGACUAUGUGUGUUUUCCAUGAAUUAUUUGGUGAUUAUGUGUUGAUUUCUUCACUAAUCUAAAAAUAUGUUAAGAAACUUGAAGUUUAUCACUAGGAUCUUCAUAUGAAUCUUGAGAAAAGUAUGUUUUAUCACAAGUAUUACAUGUAAACAUGUAGAUCUGGGAUUUGUAUACUUGAUAUAGCAAAAAUAAGUGUUGUGUUCAAAAAUCUAUAAACUAAACUCACAAAACAGCCCUUGACAGAAAACUUUUGGUCCAAUCUCGGACUGUUUUGACCAUCCAAAUGGAAGUAUUUUUCAAAACUGUUUUACAUGGAUAAAGUUCAGAUUUAUACCUUUAAAAUGACUACUCUCACGUUUUCAUACGAUUUUUCUACAAUUUUUGGCGAAUUUUACAAAACUCCCUAUCAUAUUUGAAAUAAUUUCGGACCAACCUGUGAAGAUGAGUAAUUUCACACUAGUUUGAGGCCAUCAAAAAUUAUGAGAAAAAUUGUGAACAAAGUAGACAAAAUUUCCAAACUUCCAAAAUUUACGGAUCCAGAUUUCGACUUACGAUGAAUGUUCUACAAAUUUUCUAAAAACUAGUUCGGAAAAGCCAAAAACCAGAAAAAUAUGUAUUUUCACAAAACCAAGCCAAAAAUGAUAUUUUUGACACAAAUGGGUUUAAAAUGUUAUUUUUAUCACAAAGUAGUCAUCAACACAAGUUUUUAACAAAGUUGGAGGCUAAAGUGUUACUCUUACAAAAAUUGGGCCUUAAUUGUAAAUUUUUGGCUUAUUGGGCCAAGAACGUCAUUUUUACAAAAAGGUGGGCUUUUUAUAUCAACUUUGUAAAUAAGCAAGCUAAAAUAAACAAAACAAUAACAAACGGGAUUAAAAACGAUACUCAUAUCCUUAUUGGGCCUGGAAAUAAUAUACACGUUUAGUGGGCCUUAAUGUCAUUUUACAUGUAUAUUGGGCUCGGGAUAGGUAUUCAUAUCCUUAUUGGGCCUGGAAAUAAUAUACAUGUUUAGUGGGCCUUAGUGUCCUUUUACAUGUAUAUUGGGCUCGGGAUAGGUAUUCAUAUCCUUAUUGGGCCUGGAAAUAAUAUACAUGUUUAGUGGGCCUUAGUGUCCUUUUACAUGUAUAUUGGGCUCGGGAUAGGUAUUCAUAUCCUUAUUAGGCCUGGAAAUAAUAUACAUGUUUAGUGGGUCUUAGUGCCCUUUUACAUGUAUAUUGGGCUUAGGAUAGACAUUCACAUUCCUUUUGAGCCUGGAAAUAAUAGACACAUAUAGCGGGCCUUAGUGGUUCACCUACAUGUUUAUUGGGCCUCGGAAUGGGUUUUAUAUGCGUUCUUCUUUUUAUGCUACUUUAGUGAAUACUUGAACUAAAACCAAUGAUAAACCAACAAAUGGAUUUAAUUUGAUCAUUUUCUAGGUUAUUGGGCCUUAGUGACCCAUUUUUAUGUGUGAGAGGUCCUGUAUAUGUUUAUUGGGCCUCAUUGACCCAUUAACAUGUGCGACGGACCUUGGAUACUAUUUGUGUGCCAUUUGGGCCUGUAAAUACUUUACAUGUGAAAUGGGCCUUAGUUGUCCUUUCAUAUAUAUUUCGGGCCCAUGUUAUAUAAUCUCAUUCCAAUUGGGUCUUGAAAUGAUUUACAUGUUUAGCGAUGCCUUAGUGGUUCACUUACAUGGAUCAUUGGUCCUGGAAUGAGUUUAUACCUUUUUCUUCGCGUAAAUUCGAUUAAGGAUCUAGCGAGUUUUUGUCGGUUGGCACCUAUUAAGUGUACGAUCGUAGCCUGUAGUUAUAACCAGAGUCUCUUGGAGGGAGAACGGGGAUUUGUGUAUAGAUCUAUACGGGGAUGACACCCCACACCUCAGUUGUUCGCUACAGUUAGACUAACUCAGUCUAGGGUGACGAAAACCUUAUAAUCAAAGUCAAAACCGGCGUCCAACGACGCCAAGACAGGCGAAAUUGUCAUUAUUUAGUAUGGUUAUGACGGCUCGCUUAGAGGAAUUAACGUUAUGAAGUUUACGGAAGACCCUUUUUUUUACAGGCAGCAUCGGGUUGUCUGGGAACAUUCUCUUUACAUGCUCUUACAUUCUCUCUACAUUCUCUUUACCUUUUUAGUCAAAUAAACAAUAACAUACAUGCAUUAAUACAAGAUCUAACACAAACACACUAAACAGUUUUCAGAAAAUAUCGGAUUUUCUGGUGGUUUUCAAAGUUAUACAAAUCAUUUUCACAAACAUGCUUAUGAACUCACCAACAUUUUUAUGUUGACCGUUUUCAAAAUAACUUGUAUUCUCAGGAUACCGUUGAAGCAGGAUGAACGAAACAAACUAAUGGAUAUUGUGUUAUAUUUUGUUUCAUCAUACUCGUACUAUUUUGACAUGUAAUAUUCAAAUACAAUACUCGAUGUAAACAAUGAAUGUUGUAAUAUUACAUGUGUGAUGAUGAUGAUGAUGUUAUGUUUCAAUUAUAUUCACUGUAAUGAUAUUUCAAGAUGAAGUCACGCACAAGCCCCCGGACGUUUCCGCCGUCUGGUUCGGGGGUGUGACACGUUAGGU
Molecule: long non-coding RNA, 8318 nt
Filed under: Lactuca sativa (garden lettuce)
Lineage: Eukaryota; Viridiplantae; Streptophyta; Magnoliopsida; Asterales; Asteraceae
Description: long non-coding RNA (LSAT_LNC010322)
Source: RNAcentral